GAUGAACGCUGGCGGCGUGCUUAACACAUGCAAGUCGAACGGAAAGGCUCCUGCUUUCCGGGGUACUCGAGUGGCGAACGGGUGAGUAACACGUGGGUGAUCUGCCCUUCACUUCGGGAUAAGCCUGGGAAACUGGGUCUAAUACCGGAUAGGACCACAUUUUGGAUGGUGUGGUGGAAAGUUUUUCGGUGUGGGAUGAGCUCGCGGCCUAUCAGCUUGUUGGUGGGGUAAUGGCCUACCAAGGCGUCGACGGGUAGCCGGCCUGAGAGGGUGUACGGCCACAUUGGGACUGAGAUACGGCCCAGACUCCUACGGGAGGCAGCAGUGGGGAAUAUUGCACAAUGGGCGCAAGCCUGAUGCAGCGACGCCGCGUGGGGGAUGACGGCCUUCGGGUUGUAAACUACUUUCGCUAGGGACGAAGCGCAAGUGACGGUACCUGGAGAAGAAGCACCGGCUAACUACGUG
RNAcentral lists this ribosomal RNA (465 nucleotides) under uncultured bacterium. RNAcentral's name for it is "partial 16S ribosomal RNA". It matches the Rfam family "Bacterial small subunit ribosomal RNA", at positions 28 to 507 of the family's 1533-position model. The record is from RNAcentral.